CGCCUCGGCCUCCCAAAGUGCUGGGAUUACAGGCUUGAGCCACCGCGCCCGGCCUCCUAGCAUAGUGAUUUCUAAGGUCUUUUUAUUAUAUUAGAUUUGAAGAUCUUGAAAAAAUACAAACUUCAAAUAAAUGAAUAUUUGUGAGGAGAGGAAGACCUAUAUUCUUCAUCUGGAAGGCUUCAAAACUGAAAUGAUGAAUGCAAUGUUUAAUACAAAACUGAACCCUGGGCACUACAAACUUAGAGGACAGAAAGAUGAAGAGGAGAGAAGAGAAUAAAGACAAGAGUGGCUGACCAGAAAAAUACAGAAAUCCUGGAGGCCGAAUGAAGAAAGUAUUCUCAGAAGGGAAUGAUUGGCUAUAGGAAACAUUGCUGAAAAAAAUCGAGUGAGCUGACAUUGAGGUAUUUGGUAAAAUGGAGGUUUGUGGUAACCUUGAAAGGUGGUUUCAGAGUCACGGAGAAGGCAAAGCCCAACAGGAGUGGGUUGAAGAGAGAAUGGGAGGCAAGGAAGUAAAAACAAUGAACAAUUGGUAUCUUUCCAGGUUUUGUUACAGAAAGCAACAAAGGAACAGGUCUAUAGUUAGAAUGGUCCAUGAAGACAAGUGACUGUUUUUGCUUUUUAAAGAUGAGAGCUCUUAUGGAAUAACCUACAUGAAAGUUCAACACAGAAAAACUUUUUGGCCCAUCAUUUAACCACAAAGCACGCAGUCACAAAUUAUUAUAUGGCUCACACUUCAGAACUUUUCACUAAAUAUUCUUUAAAAGUCUAAAUCAGAUGAGUAGUCAUUAAUUUCUUUUCCUUUUUUUCCAUAACUUUAAAGAAAAAAAUUGGAAAGAGAAAACGUAGAUUUAUCACUGACUUUCAGCUUCAAAAUAUUUGUCAGUAGUUUUUUUUUUAGACUGAGAAUUUCUCAAGCUUAGGAAAAUGAUCUCAUACAGAAUCGCAUACCAAUGAAAUUUAAAAAUAUGAACCUAAUCUUAUUCCUUUUAUUUCUUUAUUAAGUAGACGUUUUUCACUCAAAAAGAGACAUUUAUAGCAAGUUUCCUCUCAAUAGAAAUGUCAAACCAAAUUGGCACCUAAGGAAAGUUUCCUAAAAACAGAUUUUGCCACAAAAAAAAAA
Molecule: long non-coding RNA, 1120 nt
Organism: Sapajus apella (tufted capuchin)
Lineage: Eukaryota; Metazoa; Chordata; Mammalia; Primates; Cebidae
Exons: 2
Source: RefSeq, a predicted model, not a curated record